AUUGAACGCUGGCGGCAUGCUUUACACAUGCAAGUCGAACGGUAACAGGCCUUCGGGUGCUGACGAGUGGCGAACGGGUGAGUAAUGCAUCGGAACGUACCCAGAGGUGGGGGAUAACGCAGCGAAAGCUGUGCUAAUACCGCAUGUGAUCUGAGGAUGAAAGCGGGGGACCGAGCAGCAAUGUUUGGCCUCGCGCCUUUGGAGCGGCCGAUGCCGGAUUAGCUAGUUGGUGGGGUAAAGGCCUACCAAGGCGGCGAUCCGUAGCUGGUCUGAGAGGACGACCAGCCACACUGGGACUGAGACACGGCCCAGACUCCUACGGGAGGCAGCAGUGGGGAAUUUUGGACAAUGGGCGCAAGCCUGAUCCAGCAAUGCCGCGUGCGGGAAGAAGGCCUUCGGGUUGUAAACCGCUUUUGGCAGGAACGAAACGGUGUCCGCUAAUACCGGGCGCUAAUGACGGUACCUGCAGAAUAAGCACCGGCUAACUACGUG
This 492-nucleotide ribosomal RNA is filed under the name uncultured bacterium. Its description in RNAcentral is "partial 16S ribosomal RNA". It matches the Rfam family "Bacterial small subunit ribosomal RNA", at positions 29 to 507 of the family's 1533-position model. The record is from RNAcentral.